This 497-nucleotide ribosomal RNA is filed under the name uncultured bacterium. RNAcentral describes it as "partial 16S ribosomal RNA". It matches the Rfam family "Bacterial small subunit ribosomal RNA", at positions 28 to 507 of the family's 1533-position model. The record is from RNAcentral.
GAUGAACGCUGGCGGCGUGCCUAAUACACGCAAGUCGAGCGAACGGACGAGAAGCUUGCUUUUCUGAUGUUAGCGGCGGACGGGUGAGUAACACGUGGAUAACCUACCUAUAAGAAUGGGAUAACUUCGGGAAACCGGAGCUAAUACCGGAUAAUAUUUUGAACCGCAUGGUUCAAAAGUGAAAGACGGUCUUGCUGUCACUUAUAGAUGGAUCCGCGCUGCAUUAGCUAGUUGGUAAGGUAACGGCUUACCAAGGCAACGAUGCAUAGCCGACCUGAGAGGGUGAUCGGCCACACUGGAACUGAGACACGGUCCAGACUCCUACGGGAGGCAGCAGUAGGGAAUCUUCCGCAAUGGGCGAAAGCCUGACGGAGCAACGCCGCGUGAGUGAUGAAGGUCUUCGGAUCGUAAAACUCUGUUAUUAGGGAAGAACAUAUGUGUAAGUAACUGUGCACAUCUUGACGGUACCUAAUCAGAAAGCCACGGCUAACUACGUG